GACGAACGCUGGCGGCGUGCCUAAUACAUGCAAGUUGAGCGCUGAAGGUUGGUACUUGUACCGACUGGAUGAGCAGCGCACGGGUGAGUAACGCGUGGGGAAUCUGCCUUUGAGCGGGGGACAACAUUUGGAAACGAAUGCUAAUACCGCAUAAAAACUUUAAACACAAGUUUUAAGUUUGAAAGAUGCAAUUGCAUCACUCAAAGAUGAUCCCGCGUUGUAUUAGCUAGUUGGUGAGGUAAAGGCUCACCAAGGCGGUGAUACAUAGCCGACCUGAGAGGGUGAUAGGCCACACUGGGACUGUGACACGGCACAAAGUGCUACGGAAAGCAGCAGUAGGGAAUCUUCGGCAAGGGACGAGAGUCUGACCGAGCAACGCCGCGUGAGUGAAGAAGGAUGUCGGAUCGUAGAAGUCUGUUGGUAGAGAAGAACGUUGGUGAGAGUGGAAAGCUCAUCAAGUGACGGUAACUACCCAGAAAGGGACGACUAACUACGUG
Molecule: ribosomal RNA, 497 nt
Filed under: uncultured bacterium
Lineage: Bacteria
Description: partial 16S ribosomal RNA
Rfam family: Bacterial small subunit ribosomal RNA
Source: RNAcentral